Dipodomys ordii (Ord's kangaroo rat) is the source of this 143-nucleotide small nuclear RNA. Its record names the gene U1. It matches the Rfam family "U1 spliceosomal RNA". From Rfam's summary of the family: U1 is a small nuclear RNA (snRNA) component of the spliceosome (involved in pre-mRNA splicing). The record is from Ensembl. Lineage: Eukaryota; Metazoa; Chordata; Mammalia; Rodentia; Heteromyidae.
AUACUUACCUGGCAAGGGAAACACCAUGAUCAUGAAGGUGGUCUUCCCAGGAUGAGGUGUAUCCAUUGCACUUGGGGGAUGCUGACAUCUUCUGACCCUGUUUGAACUUAGGGUCCUAGACCCUGCCCCUGAGCUUUUUCUCC